GCAAACUUGGUCAUUUAGAGGAAGUAAAAGUCGUAACAAGGUUUCCGUAGGUGAACCUGCGGAAGGAUCAUUAAUAAAUUCUGAAUGUCUUUCAUUCGAAUUUCCACACUGCGUAUCUGUUCCUGUAAGCUUCCACUAGACAGUGAAGUGUCUUCUUGAUGCUUCCCUUCUGCCUGGACAAUGGUCCGGGUUGGAAGAGUUCUGGUGGCAGCCAACACGAUUAAACCCCUUUGAAUAUCUAUACAAUUGUCUGAUUCUUGUUUUGAAAACAAUCUAUAAAACUUUCAACAAUGGAUCUCUUGGUUCUCGCAUCGAUGAAGAACGCAGC
This 328-nucleotide unclassified non-coding RNA is filed under the name uncultured fungus. RNAcentral's name for it is "partial contains small subunit ribosomal RNA, internal transcribed spacer 1, and 5.8S ribosomal RNA". The stretch from base 1 to 73 matches the Rfam family "Eukaryotic small subunit ribosomal RNA", at positions 1759 to 1831 of the family's 1831-position model. The record is from RNAcentral. Lineage: Eukaryota; Fungi.